This 665-nucleotide ribosomal RNA is filed under the name Zygosaccharomyces mellis. RNAcentral describes it as "eukaryotic LSU rRNA". It matches the Rfam family "Eukaryotic large subunit ribosomal RNA", at positions 1510 to 2157 of the family's 3401-position model. The record is from RNAcentral. Lineage: Eukaryota; Fungi; Ascomycota; Saccharomycetes; Saccharomycetales; Saccharomycetaceae.
CACGUCAACAGCAGUUGGACGUGGGUUAGUCGAUCCUAAGAGAUGGGGAAGCUCCGUUUCAAAGCGCCUGAUUCUUUUUUAGGCCUACCAUCGAAAGGGAAUCCGGUUAAUAUUCCGGAACCUGGAUAUGGAUUCUCCACGGCAACGUAACUGAAUGUGGAGACGUCGGCGUGAGCCCUGGGAGGAGUUAUCUUUUCUUCUUAACGGCUUAUCACCCUGGAAUUGGUUUAUCCGGAGAUGGGGUUUUAUGGCUGGAAGAGGCCAGCACCUUUGCUGGCUCCGGUGCGCUCACGACGGCCCUUGAAAAUCCACAGGAAGGAAUAGUUUUCAUGCCAGGUCGUACUGAUAACCGCAGCAGGUCUCCAAGGUGAACAGCCUCUAGUUGAUAGAAGAAUGUAGAUAAGGGAAUUCGGCAAAAUAGAUCCGUAACUUCGGGAUAAGGAUUGGCUCUAAGGGUCGGGCAGUGAGGGCCUUGGUCAGACGCGGUGCGGUGUGCUUGCGGACUGCCCGGUGUGGGUUUCGGCCUGUGCUGGGCGGACUGCUUGCGUGCUGUGCUGUAGACGGUCUUGGUAGGGAGCUGCGUGCUUCCGUCGCUUGCUGCGAUUAACGAUCAACUUAGAACUGGUACGGACAAGGGGAAUCUGACUGUCUAAUUAAAACAUAGC